GGAGGAGAUGGAUGGGUGGUUCUAGGUUUGGGAAACAUGGAUCAGGACCCUGUGGAAAUUUAGGUUUUAUUCUUUGCAUUUAUUAUUUUCUUUGCUGCUAUUAUUCAGGGAUAAACUUGUGGACUGAGAAUACUUACCUCUUCAUGAGAGGCACUAUAAACCUGUGUCAACGAUUUUAUUUUCUCUUUCUAUUCCACACUCAGAUAUUUUUCUCAGCAACGGAGUCAUUUAAUAACAGUGUUUCGUUUCGUUUCCUUUCAUUUCCUUUGUUGUCAAAACAACCUUUGUGUCUUUCUUACUUCUCGGCUAUGGUAUUUAGUUUCACUACGUUCUCAGGAUGUUUUAUUUGGAAGUGAUGUGGUUAUUUAUUUGUGGAUUGAGUUCCAUUCCUUUAGACUUGCAUUUGUUUGUGUUCAUUGCUAUCAAACAACUUUCUUCUUUUUAAGUUUAUAGAGCCCUUUAUUUUUUAAUGAAACCCACUAAAUGUUAUUUAUUUAUUUUUCUUUCUUUUUCAUCAUUUCCUACUUAUUUGUGUUUCUAAUAGGCUUGGGAUGCGUUUUGGGUUUAUAAGAGUAUUAGAGGCACUUGAAUUUGGGGAGGAUUUGUCUUUUACUAUGUGGUUGGUUGUUGAAUCAGUGGCUGUUUUGGGAAUUUUGGUGAUCUUGUACUCUUUACUGAUACGAGACCUCAUCUUAUUGAUUGCUAUAUUUCUCAAUUUUGAGACCUCAUUUUAUUGAUUGCUAUAUUUCUCAAUUUUAAUCCCAUACUGGUCUUGGAUUUUGGGACAGCUAAUAUCUUUGCACACUGAAGAUUAAUUUACUCGAUGAUCGAGAAACAAAUUGUAUGUAUUUUAUAUUUAUUGUGCAGUAUAGAGUUAGAACUGUGUGGGACAGCUCAUGUAACGAACAUGAUCUGGUGAUGUAUCUCUGAUUUUGGGAUCUGUAUUUUUUUCUAUUAAAUUUAUAGUUUAGCAGUUUUCAAGAUACGGUAGUUUUUAUAUGAUAAGUACAUCCAGUUUUAAUUGGAUACCCUUUAUUAGCAACAGUCCUUUUGGAAUAGGAUUUGUUUCGGCAUAAAUCUGAAAGUUCAACUUGAAACAGCAGCUCAUGAUAGUGUUUUCUCUCUCAACAAAACACUAACCCGACGCUUCAUGUGCAAGGAAUUUGAAGCGGCUAGGUGAGGCACUCAAGGGAUGUGUCUCGCCGGUCACGUGACCUGUUAUGUAAAAUGACUCUCGGCAACAGAUAUCUCAGCCCUUGCAUCAUCAAUGAAGACCGUAGCAAAAUGUGAUACUUAUGUGAAUUGCAAAAUUCCGUGAGCCAGCGAAAUGCGGAUUUGCUUAGCACUACCAUCUGCAUGAAGUUGAAAAUUAAACAAGAACUGCUCAAGAUAACCUAAUUUCUUAUGUGUUGAGCCGGAGUUAAUCACCAUACAUUAAUAUUUGAUUGUGAUUUGUUUGUCUGCAGCAGGGUUUUGUUUAGUUGUGUGAUGACCUGUGUCUUAUCGAGCCUUUUAUGAGCAACUAAGUCUCCACUGGUUUUUGAAUUCCUUAAGUUUAAAUAUAGUUCUUAAAUUUUUUAUGUCUAGGUGUUGAUUCGUUUGUGUUCUUUCCUUUUUAGCAUGUAAGACUGGUUGAGGAUUAAAAUCGCAAGUGUACACGAAAGACAUGCAACAGAUGUGAGGUAAGAUAUCUAAAUACCUGAAGGAGAUCCUUGAUACUUUAGACUGCGUUUUAUGUCUAGUUUCUUUCUUACUUCUCAGCUAUCGUAUUUAGUCUUGGGUUGUGUUAUUUGGAAGUGACGUGGUUAUUCAUUCGAGGAUUGAUUCCAUUCCCUUCUACUUGCAUUUGUUUGUGUUCAUUGCUAUCAAACAACUUUCUUACUUUUCCUACUUAUUUGUGUUUCUCAUAGGCUUGGGAUGCGUUCUGGGUUUAUAAGAGUAUUAGAGGCACUUGAAUUUGGGGAGAAUUUGACUUUUACUGUGGUUGGUUGUAAAAGCAGUGGCUGUCUUGUGAAUUUUGGAUAUGAUCUUAUACUCUUUACUGGUCUGAUCAUCUUAUUGAUUGCUAUAUUUCUCAAUUUUAAUCCCUUAAUGAUCUUCUUCAAUCUGAGAAGCUUGUUAAUUUGGUCUUAUAAUAUAAUUUUUCUGGACUUGAUCACCAAACAUAAAGGUUGCAUUGCCAACCUGUUUCUCUCCAUCAGUACUUGGAAUUGUUUCUUGUAACACCGUUUUGUAAUCUCUUAAGAUAGAUAUUAGUUUUCUUGAUUUAAUUCUCCAAGCUUUCUCUUGUCCUCUACAGGGAGAUAAUGGAUGUGUGUCAUAUGUUUGGGAAACAUGGAAAUCCUGAAACUUUAGAUUUUUUUUAUCUUUUGCAUUCAUUAUUUUUUUUUCUAAUUAUUCUUUGGAUAAUCUUGCAGAGUGGGAUUUCAUGCCUAAUUGUAACAGGCAAAAGAGUUUAAGCAGGAUUCCGGUUGAGGAUUAAAAAACAUAAAUUUGAAUAUAGUUCUUGUUUGAUUAAUGAAAUCUAUCAAAUCUAGCUGUUUGAUCUGUGAUUAUGUUGAUUCCUUUCCAGCACAUUAAAGGUUAAUAAUAAUACAAUGGUCAGUGAAGAUGUCUCCCUUUUAUUUGAAACUUUGUACAUUGAGCAUAUUUUUCGAGACUGAUAUGUGAGGUAGGAUGUUGAAACAGUAGCCAGGGAUCUGUGAAGCUUUAGGUUUUGUUACCCUAAUAUUUGUUAUGUCUUUAUUUGUGAAUGACUAAACUUCUUGUUUGGAUUCUAAGUUUUGGUUGGUUUCACUGCUAACCCUGUAGUGUGACUGGCAACAGGUUUAUAAAAUGUUAACUUCUCUUAAAUCAUUUCUUUCAGCUUUUGGGUCAUGUUUUUUUUUAAAUUCUUAGUGAUUUGAAUUUCUAACAACUUAUAUGAAGUACUGGAUCAAUAGUGAAAAAAAAGAUACGGAAAAAUAUCGUGGCCAUUAAUAGUUUGUGUUUGUUGUCCUGUUUCUCUGUUGUCAGUGAACUCUGCUUCUUUC
This 3032-nucleotide long non-coding RNA is filed under the name Phaseolus vulgaris (common bean). Its description in RNAcentral is "long non-coding RNA (PVUL_LNC001089)". The stretch from base 1230 to 1365 matches the Rfam family "5.8S ribosomal RNA". Lineage: Eukaryota; Viridiplantae; Streptophyta; Magnoliopsida; Fabales; Fabaceae. The record is from RNAcentral.